RNAcentral lists this ribosomal RNA (289 nucleotides) under uncultured bacterium. RNAcentral's name for it is "partial 16S ribosomal RNA". The record is from RNAcentral.
CUACCGGGGUUUCUAAUCCCAUUCGCUACCCUAGCUUUCGUUCCUCAGCGUCAGUUACAGCCCAGCAAGCCGCUUGCGCCACCGGUGUUCUUCCAGAUAUCUACGCAUUUCACCGCUACACCUGGAAUUCCGCUUGCCUCUACUGCACUCCAGUCCGCCAGUAUCCAAUGCACUCCCAGGGUUGAGCCCCAGUCUUUAACAUCAGACUUAACGAACCACCUACGAACUCUUUACGCCCAAUAAAUCCGGACAACGCUCGCAUCCUACGUCUUACCGCGGCUGCUGGCAC